UACGUAGGGGGCUAGCGUUGUCCGGAAUCAUUGGGCGUAAAGCGCGUGUAGGCGGUCCGGUAAGUCCGCUGUGAAAGUCGGGGGCUCAACCCUCGAAUGCCGGUGGAUACUGUCGGGCUAGAGUGCGGAAGAGGCGAGUGGAAUUCCUGGUGUAGCGGUGAAGUGCGCAGAUAUCAGGAGGAACACCAAUUGCGAAGGCAGCUCGCUGGGACGUAACUGACGCUGAGACGCGAAAGCGUGGGGAGCAAACAGG
RNAcentral lists this ribosomal RNA (253 nucleotides) under uncultured bacterium. RNAcentral describes it as "partial 16S ribosomal RNA". It matches the Rfam family "Bacterial small subunit ribosomal RNA", at positions 524 to 776 of the family's 1533-position model. The record is from RNAcentral.